UACAACAGCGGAAUUUUGGAUGUUGGGCAUUAUUGUUCUUGGAGAGGUCAUAGUUAUCAAUUAUCAGUUGUGCUUGGAUGAUUAAUAGAGUUCAGAGAAGAAAUUCAGAAAACAGAAUGAUUGCAUGCAGAGUCACUCUGUGCCUCAUGGGACACAGCCCCCAUUGGACAAUGUGAAAGAUGCCUUCGAGAGUUCAAGGAUACUUUUGAUGCUUCCCUUUGAGCUGAAACUGCCAACCAGACUAGGUUGUGAACAGAUGACCAUGCUAAAUGAGCAACAAAUCAUGCAGACCACAGAUGCAGUUUUCUCUGGUAUAUGAGAGCAGACUCCUCUUCAAAAUAGAUUUCCUCCUGUAUCAUUUCCCCUCUUCACUUCCAGGGAAACCUCCUUUAUAAUGAAGACCUUUUUUGAAAGAAAAAAAGAGGAAGAAAAGAAAAAAAAAUCCAGCCACUAAUCAACAUAUCCAAAAAAUCUUACGUUAUAUACAAUGUUUCACACUUCUACAAAGGAUCAGGGGAAAGUAUCUUCUCAUAUCUCUGCUUUCAAGCCAAGCUUAUUUUUCAUAAUUUUGUAAUAUUCAUUGUCAGUUGUUUUGUGAUGGUUAUUAUUUCAAUUUACAUGGUUGUAGACAUCAUGUAGAAUGAGAACUAUUAUUAAAUGAACAUGUUUACAGAGCACAGAGUUCUCAUCCUAAGGUAAUAGUGGCCACAGACGGGCUUUAAGGCGUAGCUCGUAAGGCUCAUUGGGCACUGUUGGGGUUCAGGAUGCUAUGACAUAGGCCAUAAGUAGCCAACUUGAAUUACUUACCUUUUCCAUUCACUUGAAACCCAGAGUGGGCCCUUUGGAGUGAGACGUUUAAAGGCACCAACCUGCAUGUUGGACUUGGAGCUUUCAGAUUCUUACAGAACUUUCUUUGGAGUUGCAUUUGUCUGCCGCAUACUGGGUGGGAGUCAUUGAGCUAGUCUUUGUGGAAGACUGAGGAAAGCUAUAUUCUCUUGUAUUUCUGCUUGCUAAAACAAUUGUUUCAAUGAACCCUUAAGUUCUAAGUCAGACUUGGUAUUAUAUUUAUAUAAAAGAACUCUCUCCCAGGAGAGGCACUCUCAACCCUUACCUCAACCUUAUCUGAAGAAUUUCUGCUUAAGAAAGCACUUUCCCAUUGGCCAACAUACUUCUCUCCCAUUUCCCCCCUGGACUGGCCUUGCAGUCACAUCUUUCUUGGAGACCUCUAUGACUCUGGGCCUCUGGAAAUCCAUCCUUUACUCAUAAACUGUUUCUUUCUGUCUGGAUCCAUUUGCCUAAAAUAUGUUCAUUAGGCAGUUGGUAAGCAAAACUGGUAAACAGCACAAUCUUUUCCUGUAGUUUGGCUCUCUGGACCAUGUCCUCUUAGCAGUCAUGGUGUGUCAAUAGCCAUUGCCAUCACGCUUGGAGCCCGCCUAUGUCAUAACAAUUCCAUCAAUAACCAAGAUUUGUCUACAUUUUCUUUUCAAAAUGUAAGCUUCCAGUAAGCUCCCAUUUCUGGCCCGAGGGAUGUCUCUAAGUCCUCUUUUGCUGAGCUGAAAUAACCCCUUUACAGGAAUCUCCUGACUAUGAGCUCUGUCCACUGGUCCAAUUUCUCUUUGAUGGGUUGGGAGGAGGAAGAUGAGGGGAAGAUUAAUAUUCCUGUAUCCUGUCACCAUCAGUAUGCCAUAGAGGAAUACUUUUUACACAUAGCCACAAAAAAGACAUUGUCCCCCAAUAAGUUUACUAUUUUUUUUGCAACUGCUUACUAAUAAACCUUCAUCUCCACAGAUAAACCAUUUGUGUGAAUG
Phascolarctos cinereus (koala) is the source of this 1808-nucleotide non-coding RNA. The record is from RefSeq and is a predicted model, not a curated record. NCBI's taxonomy places the organism in Eukaryota, Metazoa, Chordata, Mammalia, Diprotodontia, Phascolarctidae.